Molecule: ribosomal RNA, 702 nt
Filed under: uncultured Glomerales
Lineage: Eukaryota; Fungi; Glomeromycota; Glomeromycetes; Glomerales; Glomeraceae
Description: LSU rRNA
Rfam family: Eukaryotic large subunit ribosomal RNA
Source: RNAcentral
GCAUAUCAAUAAGCGGAGGAAAAGAAACUAACAAGGAUUCCCUUAGUAACGGCGAGUGAAGAGGGAAAAGCUCAAAUUUUAAAUCUAUCAUGUUUGUACAUGAUCGAAUUGUAAUUUGAAGAAGCGUUUUCUCGUACUUUAUGCAAUCAGUAUAAGUUCUCUUGGAACAGGACAUCAUAGAGGGUGAUAAUCCCGUCUGUUACUGGUUGUGAGGUUCGUUAUGAUACGCUUUCAAAGAGUCGAGUUGUUUGGGAUUGCAGCUCCAAAUGGGUGGUAAACAUCACCUAAGGCUAAAUAUUUGCGAGAGACCGAUAGCGAACAAGUACCGUGAGGGAAAGAUGAAAAGAACUUUGAAAAGAGAGUUAAAAAGUAUGUGAAAUUGUUGAAAGGGAAACGAUUGAAGUCAGUCGUGCAGUCAUCAAUUCAGCGGUUAACAUUUUUAUGUUUCCGUGUAAUUUGGUGUCUGUUGGUUAGCAUCAAUUUUGAUUGUUAUAAAAAGGUUAAGGGGAUGUGGCUCCUUCGGGAGUGUUAUAACCCUCAGCGUAAUGUGACGAUUAGGAUUGAGGUUUGCAACGAAUACCUUUUAGGGCAGUUUCACCUGGCCUCUCGUGGAAUUAUAGAUAGUUAAGAGCAUGCUCUUACUGUUUAUGAUUCUACGAAAAGGUUGGAGUGUAAAACUAAUUCGUUAAGGAUGUUGACGUA